Molecule: non-coding RNA, 211 nt
Filed under: Pseudosulfitobacter pseudonitzschiae
Lineage: Bacteria; Pseudomonadati; Pseudomonadota; Alphaproteobacteria; Rhodobacterales; Roseobacteraceae
Also listed under: 1 other name
Source: RNAcentral
ACCAUCUGCACCUGUGUUGGUGCCUGUGCAAGCAGGUGAAAAGGGAAUCUGCAACCGGGAGCUUUUCCGGUCAAGCAAAGCCGCCCCCGCGACCGUGAACGGAAACAAGGCGUGUCACCGCCACUGGCCUAUGGCUGGGAAGGCAGACGCACCGCAGGGCACCGCCCGUAAAUCCGUGAGCCGGGAGACCUGCCAGCACAGAUUGCCACGA